This is a non-coding RNA of Bactrocera oleae (olive fruit fly), 2726 nucleotides long. The record is from RefSeq and is a predicted model, not a curated record. NCBI's taxonomy places the organism in Eukaryota, Metazoa, Arthropoda, Insecta, Diptera, Tephritidae.
CUGCCUAUAAUUAUCUCGAUCGAGAAACCUCCCGACUUUAUUUCUGUGUUAACUUUUACAAAGCUAGCUGGAUCGGCUUCACAAAACCUACUGAGAGCACCUUCGCCGCACUACCAAUUCCUACGUACGUCAUCGUUUGAAGUCCUGCAACCUCUCUACCGGUGUGAGUAAGCUUUGGAUUACUGUCAAGGCCUUGUCUAGUUCGAGGAAAAAUGACGACCGAAUUGAAAUUGAAUUCAACGGCUAUGCCUCCUCGGACCCGAAGAAGUGCGCGAACUAUUUUACCAGGCAAUUUACACUGCACCCUUCGACAGACAAGGCCAAACGAUGUGUUACCCGACAGCUGCGCAAAAUGCUAAAACACCGCGCUCCACCUACUUUCUCCGAUGGGGAGGUUCAGAGUGCCAUCAACAAGGCCAAAUCGUCCAAAUUAAUAGGCCCCGACAGAAUAAGCAUGCUGAUGCUAAAACAACUAGGCUCGACAUGAGUAAACUAUCUCACGAAGGUCCUCAACCAGUCGCUGACCACUCUUCAAAUACCCGAUGUGUGGAAAGUAAGAAGAGUGGUCCCACUACUGAAACCUGGGAAACCCGCCAACAAAGGGGAGUCUUAUCGUCCGAUAAAUCUCCUUUCACCAGUAGUGAAGACACUUGAUUCCAUGCUACUCCCGACAUUCACUCACCACCUGAGCCUAGUAGACCAUUUCCAGCAUUCCAGAAAGUGCACAGCACCACCACAGCACUUAGCGACAUAAACGCCCAGAAAGUUCAUGGCCUAAACCAAAAGCCACUCUGCGAGAGGACCAUGCUCGUAGCGUUGGGCUUGUCAAAAGCUUUUGACACAGUCAUCACAAAAGGCUACUUGAGGACAUCGAACAAUCCACGCUCCCUCCAGGGUUGAAAAGGUGGACUAUGAACUAUCUGAGCAGUCGGAAUUCAUCCGUACUGGUUCGAUGUCAAAACUCCAAACUGAGAAGAAUUAAACAGGAGGUUCGGCAGGGCAGUGUCCUCUCCCCGCUACUGAUUAACUUCUAUAAUUCGAAACUCUCACAACCACCAGAGGAAUUCCAUGACCUAGUAUAUAUAAUAUAUAUAAUAUGCGAAGAUAAAAGUUCCCGGAUAUUAUCGUUUCGUCUACAUAUAUAGUAGGAUGUGUAAGUUCUAGUCAUGAUUCAAUUAUAUAAGGUUGUGGCGAACGGAGCGUGCUUCCUUUUACGAAAGAAAUGUUUGUAUCCAUAAUGUCAAAGAAACUAUUUACAUUGGAAUGAAAUGAAAUCUUUGCAAAAUUUGUUAUUGAAUCAUACAAAGUACAAAGAAAAACGGCUGCUUUUGACAUGAUGAAAUUACUUUUGAAAAAUUGUUGUUUUUCGGCUAUCGACACAACCUUAUAUACCAUAAUUGAAUCCAUGGUUCUAGUCAGUUUUUUCAACUAACAAACAGGCUCAAAACUUCAAUAGCGCUCAAUUUCUUGUCAAUGUUAAACUAUAAAAAUUAGUAAAAAAAUGUCCCCAUGUCAUUUAAAUACUUACAUAUAAUAUAUGGCAAUUGAAAGGUUAUGAAUGGUAAAGUUAGGAAUAUUUAUAUUUAGAGCUCAAAUGUUAAGAUGUUUCUUUUUAACUUUUGAAACCUGUACCAGAGAAUGUUAAUGAAUUCAUUCUCUGGUAUAGUGGAUAGCUCGUCAAUGUGACCUAUAUAAAAAAAAGCAAGUUCACAGCUCAUUGGCUGGCUCUUACAAGUGUCGAACUCUCGUUUUAUACCAAUUAUUUUGUUUAAAAUGGAUCUUUAAAAUUAUGAAACAUAAUUUUGUUAAAAAUAAAUCAAUAAAUAUCUUACUGAAAUAAGUAAUUGUGUACAGGUUUAAGAAAAAUAUGUACAAUAGUAUUAUUCAAAGUAUUGACGAUAUGAAGCUGUGUAAUUUUCCUGCACCGGCCUGGCCGUCCUUGUUCUGAUGUAAACUGUAUUCCAGUGAAGGUGUUCUGCAUCGACUGGAAGUACUUCUUAGCCGUAUUAUUUCAAUUUAUUAGGUUUCCUUCAUAUCCUCAGGCUUAAUAUUCGACAAACUAUUUGAUUGAAACAAAAAAUUAUAGUUAUGUUUACGUUGCUUUCCAAGGCAUGUGCAGAAUAUUGGUUACGGCAUACAAUACGGCAAACCUCAUGAAUAUUGUUACAAACCCAAAUAUACAUAUAAGAAUAUUUCUUCACAAUCAGUAUAUUUCGUUCUGUCAUGUUUAUUAUUUGGGGUCUAGUCCCCUCUUUGAAGUAGUCGAACAAUUUUACAUCACUGUCAAGGAUUAUCAUUAUCAUCAACAACUCAAAGAUGCAUAGUCAAUAUAUACCUAAUUCCACGAAACUAUUGUAAUAUUUAUACUAUUUCAGAUAACGGCCCAUCCACAUGGGAACUUUAAAUUGUAUUAAAUAAAUGAUGGAUGAGACUACUUAAAACACACACGCAUACAUAAGAGUGCAGAUUUCAAGGCUAUGCAACAGUAGACUGCUAAAGAGGAAGAAGAAGUGUGUCAAAAUUGGGAAGUUGCUCUCUCAAAGACCAAAAUGCAAGGAAACGGAAAACUAGCAAGAACAAUUUAAUUUUAUAUAAUUAUUGUGAUAAUGAUACUUGUAUAAAUAUUUUCAAAGUAAAUAAUUGUUUAUCUUUACGACCAUCCAAGGUCCACUCGAUCCACAUAUAAGUUUUAUUUUUUGAAAUAUUACUAGCAUAAUCCUAGUGUG